GUACAUGCAUGAUACUUUUUGUAUUGAGUAUUUAUUUUUGGGAGUCAUUUUCAAUAUUUGGGAGUCGUGAAUAUUUAGCGUAAUACUUAUGUGUGUAUAUCAAAAAGCAAGAGUUUUGCAAAGAGUUUAUUGUUUUGUGUUGUAUUGUCAUUUAUAUGUUGGUUAAUAAAUAGUAUAUAUUU
Molecule: long non-coding RNA, 182 nt
Organism: Haliotis rubra (blacklip abalone)
Lineage: Eukaryota; Metazoa; Mollusca; Gastropoda; Lepetellida; Haliotidae
Exons: 4
Source: RefSeq, a predicted model, not a curated record